GAUGAAGAACGUAGCGAAAUGCGAUAAGUAAUGUGAAUUGCAGAAUUCAGUGAAUCAUCGAAUCUUUGAACGCACCUUGCGCUCCUUGGUAUUCCGAGGAGCAUGCCUGUUUGAGUGUCAUUAAAUUCUCAACCUCACCAGUUUUGUAACGAGACAGGUGAAGGCUUGGAUGUGGGGGUUUUGCAGGCUGCCUCAGUGCUGGUCUGCUCUCCUGAAAUGCAUUAGCGAGCUCAUAUUGAGCUUCCGUCUAUUGGUGUGAUAAUUAUCUACGCCGUGGAUUGGACUCAUGCUUGCUUCUAACCGUCCGCAAGGACAAUUUACUUGACUAAUUUGACCUCAAAUCAGGUAGGACUACCCGCUGAACUUAAGCAUAUCAAUAAGCGGAGGA
This 388-nucleotide unclassified non-coding RNA is filed under the name soil metagenome. Its description in RNAcentral is "partial contains 5.8S ribosomal RNA, internal transcribed spacer 2, and large subunit ribosomal RNA". The stretch from base 1 to 120 matches the Rfam family "5.8S ribosomal RNA", at positions 35 to 154 of the family's 154-position model. The record is from RNAcentral.